Molecule: ribosomal RNA, 732 nt
Filed under: Escherichia coli
Lineage: Bacteria; Pseudomonadati; Pseudomonadota; Gammaproteobacteria; Enterobacterales; Enterobacteriaceae
Description: partial 23S ribosomal RNA
Rfam family: Bacterial large subunit ribosomal RNA
Source: RNAcentral
CCUUGAAAUACCACCCUUUAAUGUUUGAUGUUCUAACGUUGACCCGUAAUCCGGGUUGCGGACAGUGUCUGGUGGGUAGUUUGACUGGGGCGGUCUCCUCCUAAAGAGUAACGGAGGAGCACGAAGGUUGGCUAAUCCUGGUCGGACAUCAGGAGGUUAGUGCAAUGGCAUAAGCCAGCUUGACUGCGAGCGUGACGGCGCGAGCAGGUGCGAAAGCAGGUCAUAGUGAUCCGGUGGUUCUGAAUGGAAGGGCCAUCGCUCAACGGAUAAAAGGUACUCCGGGGAUAACAGGCUGAUACCGCCCAAGAGUUCAUAUCGACGGCGGUGUUUGGCACCUCGAUGUCGGCUCAUCACAUCCUGGGGCUGAAGUAGGUCCCAAGGGUAUGGCUGUUCGCCAUUUAAAGUGGUACGCGAGCUGGGUUUAGAACGUCGUGAGACAGUUCGGUCCCUAUCUGCCGUGGGCGCUGGAGAACUGAGGGGGGCUGCUCCUAGUACGAGAGGACCGGAGUGGACGCAUCACUGGUGUUCGGGUUGUCAUGCCAAUGGCACUGCCCGGUAGCUAAAUGCGGAAGAGAUAAGUGCUGAAAGCAUCUAAGCACGAAACUUGCCCCGAGAUGAGUUCUCCCUGACCCUUUAAGGGUCCUGAAGGAACGUUGAAGACGACGACGUUGAUAGGCCGGGUGUGUAAGCGCAGCGAUGCGUUGAGCUAACCGGUACUAAUGAACCGUGAGG